GGUUUCCGUAGGUGAACCUGCGGAAGGAUCAUUGAAUCUAUCAAUACCAACACCUGUGAACCCAAGAUGUCCGGUCCGCUGGGUGGGCUUAAUUGACCACUUGGUGCGGUUUGGAGCAAUCCAGACCGGGUCUGCUGGCCACACUGCCUUCUGGCAGCUGGGGUCAGUGGGUUGGCCCUUUAUACUAACCACAACACCAAACCAAAACAACUAAAGCUAAGAUGUGCAGCUGGCCUGGCCACUGCAUCCUAACUGAGACAACUCUCAACAACGGAUAUCUUGGCUCUCGCAACGAUGAAGAACGCAGCGAAAUGCGAUACGUAGUGUGAAUUGCAGAAUUCCGUGAAUCAUCGAAUCUUUGAACGCAUAUUGCGCUCGAGGCUUCGGCCAAGAGCAUGUCUGCCUCAGCGUCGGGUUAAUAUCACAUCCCCUUCUCAGUGGGUGUGGACCUGGCUGUUCCAGCGUGGUGGCUGAGUUGAUUAACUUCUCUCAGCCGUUCAUGCCUGCUGGAUCAGCUGAAGCGCAGAGGCUAACCAAGGACCCGCUAAGGGCCGCAACUGGGUAGGCAUACAGCUUCGGCUGCUCUUGCUACAUCUAGUUGUUGGUCUGGGACCAUGUGUUGGCCCUCAAACAGGAACCAUUAACCCUAUUUUCUCGACCUGAGCUCAGGCAAGAACACC
RNAcentral lists this ribosomal RNA (680 nucleotides) under Chlamydomonadales sp. LBA 47. Its description in RNAcentral is "eukaryotic LSU rRNA". The stretch from base 260 to 413 matches the Rfam family "5.8S ribosomal RNA". Lineage: Eukaryota; Viridiplantae; Chlorophyta; Chlorophyceae; Chlamydomonadales. The record is from RNAcentral.